This 1037-nucleotide long non-coding RNA is filed under the name Triticum aestivum (bread wheat). RNAcentral describes it as "long non-coding RNA (TAES_LNC020588)". The record is from RNAcentral. Lineage: Eukaryota; Viridiplantae; Streptophyta; Magnoliopsida; Poales; Poaceae.
GUCUCUCAGGUUUAACAAUAUAGGAUUAUGCACAACAUAAAUAGUUACACAGAGCCACUUGAACCAUGGUAAUACAUAAAAUUGUUCCAUUAUGUUGGCAUCCCGAACUACUUACACACAUCACCUUUGUACUGGAAGCAUCCAAGUGCAUAAAUGACACAGAAGUACAUAUAGACUAGUACAAAUUUGUUUCCUUUAUGUACCAGGUUUACACAAAAGGAACUGAAAUAAAACUUGGCAGCGGCAUAUAGUAGGCAUACUUCACAAGGAGAGCAUUUCAGGCGAUAGAGUACAAAACAGUCACCGGUCCAACUAGCAUGAACACAGAAAAUUCAUUUUGAUAGUAGGUGCCAGACUUCAAGAUUGAUGUUAUGCAUAAUGCAUGUCGAAAUGACUCCAGAGCCUCAUCCUGCAAGAAUACACCUAGGGAUUAAAUUACUGUGUUAAAUGGUUCACCAUAAUAAUUAUGUAAUACAAGUGGAGGAAGCAUUAUAGACCAUUUGAGCUGUGAACGAACAUUUUUAACUUGGUAGCCACCACAUCUACUUAUCAUGGGCCUUUUGGACGUUAUUUACCUGUAACGGGUAACAAAACCACAUAUGUAAAACCUUCGAGGACAUAUUUUUUAAAAGAUUAUUAAUUUACCUCUUCCACACCAGUACAUCAUUUUCAUCUUUGUGUGUUGUCCAUGAGCGAACUGAUAACUCAACCUCCUAAGCAUAUGAUCUGUAGAAUGCCACACCAUCCUCUCAUGUAUCAAAUUGCAUACCAUUUUUGGGAUGUAAGGCAUCAUCAAACUCGGGCUCAUAUGUUGAACCCUACAUAGGCACAUUAAUGAAUUGGUUUGGUUCAUACAAUGGGUUUCACGAAGUGAAUGAAAAAAAAACUUACACAGAAUGGAAGAUUUUGUUGUUGUUUUGGCUUGCUAUAGUUAUUCCAUGAUUUGUGAAAACUAAAUUGCGUCCUUGCAAUUUAAGAAAAAAUCAGUCAAAUGAUAUGAAUGUGCAUGGCAAACAUGAUGAGUACAACAAGGGAAU